AAAAAAGAAAGGCUAAAGCUGUUACUCGUGCAGCAAAACAGUGACGCAUAAGACUAAAAACUCGAACGGCAUUCAAAGGAAAGUGCAAGAAGUACGAGUGGGACCAACAUACAGUUCAAACAUAGAGGACCAAGACGUUGAAGUUACAACUAUACCCCCACCUAUACCCAAGCCUGGUCAAGCAGGGCUAGACACUACUGGGAAGGAAUUUGUUUUCUUUGAUUUGGAAACAAGAGGGUUAGAGCACACUUCUCACAUAAUUCAGAUAGCUGCAGUGCAUUCAACUGGUCAAUUUUCAACAUAUGUGAUGCAUGAGAAGAAGAUUUCCUUGCAAGCGUCAGAAAUAACUGGAGUGACAGUUGUUAGCGACUCUAUGCUUGUCAAGAGACAAACAGUAACAGCUGUCCCCAUCAAAUCUGCAUUGACAAGUUUUAUAACAUUCUUACAGAAAUGUUCACCAAUUAUUUUAGUUGGGCAUAAUAUAGAGUCUUUUGAUUGUAAAGUGUUGCUCCGUGCUAUCCAUACUUGUUGAAAAAUGUUUGAGUUUCAGCAAAAUAUUUGUGGCUUUUUAGAUACUUAAAAAUGUUAAAGGAAAUAUUACCAAAUAUGAAAUCAUAUAAGC
Dreissena polymorpha is the source of this 622-nucleotide long non-coding RNA. RefSeq lists it as uncharacterized. Lineage: Eukaryota; Metazoa; Mollusca; Bivalvia; Myida; Dreissenidae. The record is from RefSeq and is a predicted model, not a curated record. The transcript has 3 exons.